Molecule: ribosomal RNA, 468 nt
Filed under: uncultured bacterium
Lineage: Bacteria
Description: partial 16S ribosomal RNA
Rfam family: Bacterial small subunit ribosomal RNA
Source: RNAcentral
GACGAACGCUGGCGGCGUGCUUAACACAUGCAAGUCGAACGGAAAGGCCCUGCUUUUGUGGGGUGCUCGAGUGGCGAACGGGUGAGUAACACGUGAGUAACCUGCCCUUGACUUUGGGAUAACUUCAGGAAACUGGGGCUAAUACCGGAUAGGAGCUCCUGCUGCAUGGUGGGGGUUGGAAAGUUUCGGAGGUUGGGGAUGGACUCGCGGCUUAUCAGCUUGUUGGUGGGGUAGUGGCUUACCAAGGCUUUGACGGGUAGCCGGCCUGGGAGGGUGACCGGCCACAUGAGGACUGAGGUACGGCCCAGACUGCUACAGUGGACAGCAGUGGAAAAUAUUGCACAAUGGGCGGAAGCCUGAGGCAACAGCGCCGCGUGCGGGAUGACGGCCUUCGGGUUAUAAACCGCUUUCGCCUAUUACGAAGCGUGAGUGACGUUAAUAGGUAAAGAAGCACCGGCUAACUACGUG